CCCGCUGAACUUAAGCAUAUCAAUAAGCGGAGGAAAAGAAACUAACAAGGAUUCCCCUAGUAACUGCGAGUGAAGAGGGAAAAGCUCAAAUUUGAAAUCUGGCGGUCUUUGGCUGUCCGAGUUGUAAUUUAGAGAAGUGUUACCCGAGCUAUACCGUGUAUAAGUCUCCUGGAAUGGAGCGUCAUAGAGGGUGAGAAUCCCGUCUUUGACACGGAUAAUAGUUCAUUGUGGUGCGCUCUCAAAGAGUCGAGUUGUUUGGGAAUGCAGCUCUAAAUGGGUGGUAAAUUCCAUCUAAAGCUAAAUAUUGGGGAGAGACCGAUAGCGAACAAGUACCGUGAGGGAAAGAUGAAAAGAACUUUGGAAAGAGAGUUGAACAGUACGUGAAAUUGCUGAAAGGGAAACGCUUGAAGUCAGUCGCGUUAGCUGGGGAUCAGCCUUCCUUUUGGUUGGUGUACUUCCUAGUUGACGGGUCGGCAUCAGUUUUGACCAGUGGAUAAGAGUUUGAGGAAUGUGGCAUCUUCGGGUGUGUUAUAGCCUCUUGCUGUAUACAUUGGUUGGGACUGAGGAAUUCAGCACGCCGCAAGGCCGGGUUUUUAACCACGUUCGUGCUUAGGAUGCUGGCAUAAUGGCUUUAGUCGACCCGUCUUGAAACACGG
RNAcentral lists this ribosomal RNA (656 nucleotides) under uncultured fungus. RNAcentral describes it as "eukaryotic LSU rRNA". It matches the Rfam family "Eukaryotic large subunit ribosomal RNA", at positions 24 to 664 of the family's 3401-position model. The record is from RNAcentral. Lineage: Eukaryota; Fungi.